GCUGGGCGUGGUGGCGGGCGCCUGUAGUCCCAGCUACUCAGGAGGCUGAGGCAGGAGGAUCGCUUGAACCCAGGAGGUGGAGGUUGCAGUGAUCUGGGAUCGUGCCACUGCACUCCACCCUGGGUGACACAGCGAGACUCCAUCUCAA
RNAcentral lists this non-coding RNA (148 nucleotides) under Pan paniscus (pygmy chimpanzee). RNAcentral also lists the same sequence under 1 other name. The record is from Rfam by way of RNAcentral. Lineage: Eukaryota; Metazoa; Chordata; Mammalia; Primates; Hominidae.